RNAcentral lists this long non-coding RNA (14822 nucleotides) under Equus caballus (horse). Its description in RNAcentral is "lncRNA (ENSECAG00000052613.1)". Lineage: Eukaryota; Metazoa; Chordata; Mammalia; Perissodactyla; Equidae. The record is from RNAcentral.
CAGGUUCAAACUCUGGUCCUGCUGUUUGUUCAGGGAAUUUGUACUCAGUCCCUCCAACCCCCUGGUCUUGGGAAGGGCACAGACAGAAAACAGAGAAUCUCACAAAUGAAUAUAUAAUGUCAUUUGGUAAGUGCGUGUGAUGGAAAAGAUCAAAUAAGCAAGCGUGGAAAGCAGAAUAACAGUCCGCCAAAGACGUCCACGCCCCGGUCCCCAGAACCUGGGACCGUGUUGGUUACACGGCUCAGAGGCCUUAGGCCGCAGCUCGAGUCGAGGUUAGUAAACAGCUGACCUUUGGUUUCCACAGAUCACACUAGAUUUUAUUUUUUUUCCUAAUUUUAAACAUUAGGAAAGUUGGUAUAUGUGACAGUUUCAUAUGCAUGGAUUGGAGGGUCAUAGGGCUGUGGCGUCACGUGGGCAGGAAAGAAGAUAAAGAAACCCGUGAGAAAUCAUAGAAUAAGUGAAAUGCAAAGCAAAUUGGAGUGACCCACGUUUAAGGAACAUUUAAAGAUGGUGGGGUUUUUUUUUUCGAUUUCUACUCAUUUGAUGUUUCGAGUGUUUUUUUCCUUCUUCUUCUUCUCUCCCCAAAGGCCCCCAGUGCGUAGUUGUAAAUUUUAGUUGCAGGUCCUUCUAGUUGUGGACGUUUCAGUUUUUAUCGAGGAAAUCUUUGUUUAUUUUGACUGAUCCAUUCCUUAUUUCCAUUGAGGUAUAACUGACACCUGACGUUGUGUUAGUUUCAGGUGUGGGACAUCACGGUUCGCUGUUUGUGUGCGCUGUGAAGCGAUCACCACAGUAAGUCUGAAAGCUGACAUCCCUCACGGACACGGUUAUAACACGUUCUGCUUUUUCCCUGUGGUGAGGACUUCAGGCUCUGCCCUCAGCUGCUUUUCCACAUGCGCUGCGGUGCUGUUCCCUGCAGCCACCGCGCUGGGCGUGACGCCCGGGACUCAGCGACCCAAGCAGCUGACCUCAUGGAGAGAUCACCCCGGACUCUCCAGGUGGGGCCAGUGUCAUCAGAAAGAGCCUGAAAAGCGGAAGAGGACGCAUAUCUGAUGUUACCCGUCGGUCACACCUCAGGAGGAAAAGCGGACGAGAACGGAGAGAGCCAGCGAGACGAAGACGGCCGGGUGACAAGGGAGGCCAGGGGCCCCGGGCCGCGUGCUGCGCUCUCAACAACCCCAGUGAGCAGGAGUCGGUGCCCCGGAGCCUUGGGACGGGAGCGCAGCCUGUGGCACCUCGGGCUAAGCUUUCGGGGACCCUGAGCAGAGAGGUGCCGAGCCCCCCGCACCUCCCACCCUUGGAAACUGUGCUGAUAGCUGGCUGCCAUGUUAGUACCACAUUGUGCUUGUUACACAGCAGCACGUUACAGCGGCAGAUGGAAAGCCCACAGCCAGUUCCCCAGGGCCAGUGGAGUCUGGUCUGGGUCACAGUGGGCUUCCUGAAAAAGCAGCCUUUGAGGUGAGACCCGUAGGAUGAACCUCGCCGACUUGGCAAAGGGCAGAGGCAGAGGGAACAGAAGGUGCAAGGGCCCUGAGGCAGGAGGAAAUCAGCUCAAGUGAGAAAAGGAAGGAAGCCCAGUGCGACUGGGAGGCAGACCCCGGGCACGUCGCUGCGCUCUCUGAGCCUCAGUUUCCUCCCCCGCGAGGUGGGAUUAUAGGAGCUUUCCCUCACUAUGAGGGUGAGACGGCCCUGCAAGCUGUGUAGCAAAGCAGCUGGAGACGUGGGCCCCACAGCCAGCCCAGACCGGGGCUCGAGCUCCAGGUCUUCUGCUUACUGCCUGGGUGACCGUGGGAGGCUGCAUCCCCUCUCUGAGCCUCAGUUUCCCUCUCUGCCAGGCUGCUGUCAGUCUUAGAUAAGAGCGUGUCAGUGGUGCUCAACAAAUGCUGGCUAUCAUUGUCAUCGUUUUCGUUAGGAGACGGGGACCCAAAGUCGGACAGGAACGUGCUCAGGGUCCCCCAGAGACUGGUGGGCGCACUGGGUAGAAACGAGUCUCCCGAUCCGGCCGUGGACCCCCCAGCUUCUCCGUCUGAAGGCCGCACCAACCGAGGCGGCGGGACUCAGCCAGGAAGGCUGUGUGCGUGUGAGUGUGAGCGUGCACACACGUGCAUGCAAGAGCGUGAGGGGGAGCCAGAGUGUGUGUGUAAAGGUACAUGUGUGAGUGUGCAUGGGUGUGUGAAUGUGCUUGGUGGUGUUGAUGAGACAACAUGGCCUGGGGGACAGACGGACGGUCAUCAGUGAGUCCUUGUGCCUGGUCAGGCCGGCCCCCGGGGAGGGGGGGGCAAUACUCACCAAGAGGCUCCUGGCCCUGGUGGGCUCCUUACAGCCACAGGCCGUCAUUUCAGACGGUGUCUGUCCAGGGAGCAGCUGACCCUCUGGGGCGCGUUUCACGGGGAUGGCGGGGCGGGGCAGGAAGUGACCCUUCUCCUCAGGGAGUCGCGACCCGGCUCUGUGCUCGUGGCUUCACGUACAUCUCCUUAUGUAGUCAGCACAACAGCCAUAUUAUUCACAUUACAAAUGAGGAAACUGAGGCUCUGGGAGCCCGGGAGACCCCAGUUCUGCAUCUCCGCUGUGCUCAGAGCCCUUGCAGCAUUGGCUGCGGCUGCAGCCAUCAACAGGCCGUGUGCCCCUCCCACCUCUUGGAUCUGAGCUGGUCCUGUAAUUCGCUUUGGCCAACAGACUUGCCGGCAGAGAUGUUGUGCCAAAUCUAAGCUCAUGCCCCUGACAGCCUUGCGUGCUUCUGCCCUCUCUCGGACUCCUGUCCCCAUCAGGAGAACAAGCCUGGCAGAGAAGGAGCGACAGGUCACCCAGCCGUGCCCUCACCUAGAUGAUCGUUAGCCACGCCCCAGAACAGAGCCUCCAGCUGGCCCAGCAGGCAACUGCAGAGCGUGAGGGACCCCAGCUCAGACCAGAAGAACCAUCGAGCUGAUGGUUCAGGCUAAAUUAACUCACUGAAUCAUGUUGUUUUAAACUUUGGGGUCAUUUGUCACCCGGUGGUAGCUAACUGAUACCCAUAAUCAUACAGCUGUUGAGUAGAGUAAGUUUCAAACCCAGGUUUGUCUGACUCCAGAAUUCAUGCUCAACCCUAUAUUCUGCCAUCCCCCAGCGGGGAAAUGAGUGUAAGGGUCCAAAGCCACUGAUGGUCCCACUCUGCCCUCACACGCUUCAGUCUUCGUCUUCCGGGAGCACGCCCAGUGCCUGCUCUCUCCACCUGGGAGCUCCUGCCUGGCUCGGGCCCUUUCACCCCCUUCUCUUACCACAGUCCAGGCAGGGACCGAGCGCUGGCCGCAGCCUCGGGUGCCCCCAGCCUCCACCUAGAUCAGCACUGUCCCCCCUCAUUUGCGAAGUCCGUGCAGAGAGCUGGCAGAACGAACCCACGGUUUCGACACGUACACAUCAGCGGCCACGAUAAAAACCAGCUGGAAGGUUUAAAAAUAGCCUCCCAGGCUGCCGGAGAUGCCAGGUCCCUGGCCGGGAGGAGCAGCAGCCCCGCGGCGGGGGCACCAUCUGCGGGGCAACAGCUGCCGCCGCACGCCCAGGAGACUCCCGGCCGGGCCCAAGACGCCCGAGAGCGUGGCCGAGCCUGAGCCCCUGGGAGCACAAGCCCCCAGACAGGGGAGGACGGAGAGGAAGAUGACGCCGGGCCCAGGAGGAGGCGCUUCCUCCUCCCCCUUGUCAAACCUCUCUCUCCUUUCCCUCCUAUCCCCCAUCUCUCUCCUCCUUCAUCACCCCUGUAAUUAAUGCUCGGGCGGGCCGUGGAGGGACAGGACCCACGCCCUACCCUCCCAGGCUGUGCGAUCUUAAGCAGGUGACUCCACCCCAUGAGCCUCAGUUUCCUCAUCUGUCAGAUGGGGCCCCUGCCUUGCUGGAUGGUGCUGUUUCCGCAGGACAGCGCCAGUGAAGAGCUCAGCGGAGCCACCGGCAAGUCCGCGAGAGCCCCGUCUCCCCUCUUCCGAGAAGGCUGACGGUGAUGGUGAGGACCCCACGCCAGCCCCGCGCUCGUCCUCUCCCUGGCCCCUCUCCCUGCUUCUGGCCCUAGGCCUCUCCUUCCCCUCUCAGACCCCGACCUGGCCCCCGCAGGCUGAAGACAGACGAUGAGCUGGGGCCUGUUGCGCUGAAUUCCACCUCGGCGCGGCCUGCUGCCCUGCUCCAGCCGCACCUGGCUCGCAGAGGGAGCCUGGCCGGGCACCCUCCAGCUCCCCAGUCAACCCCUCACCCGCGGGCUUCCGGUUCACGCUGCAUCCCAGCACCAAGCCUGGCGCGUCACACAGUGCUGCUCGAUGAGCAUCGCUGAGGGACUGAAGGAACGAGCGGGACUCCUGUUGUUCCCACUUUACAGAUGAGAAACUGAGGCUCUGAGAGGUGGGCCGGCAUGUGGCAGAAUACAACCCUUGCAGGUUGAGGGAAGCCAGGCUUGGGGGAGUGACAGGUCCCACCAAGGUCCCAGUGGUGGGAUUUGAACCAUUUCACUGGCACCGAAGCCUGAGUCUUAACCACCAGCGACGCCUCAUUCUCACAUCUCUUCUAGCCGACUUCCACAGUCAGCAUCCUUGCAGGUCAAAGCCUGUCAUGCAUGUGCUGUGUGGCCUUAGGCAACUCACAUAACCUCUCUGAGCCUUGGUUUCUGCACUGGUAAAACAAAAAACAGACCUCAGGCAGAAUUUCCCUCAGCUCAUUUUUCCUCUGCUUUCUCAGCAUCUAGCGCUGGCUCUGGCAUGCAGUCUGUGCCAAAUAAAUCUGUUGAUUAAUUAAUCAAAAGGACAAGUUUACCUUAGAGCAUUGAAGUCUGCCCAGGAGCUCUCCAGUUGGGUGUCUCUGGGAACAUAUUCCUUCUCUCCCCACUUUAAAGAAACAGAAACUGCAAAAGGCAAGAGAUGCACUGGGCAUGUGGUUCAUGCAAGAGAGACCGGGGAAGCCCAUCGCAGACUCCCAGGCCCUCGGAGAAAAGACCUUUUUCCCACAUCGAAACAUGGGCGGGCGGACGUGCAUCACCAGGCUGCCCGUUAAUACGCAGCGUCGAAGCCAGACGGUGCACUGGUUGCCAUCUUGGCAGCCCCAGCAGAGGCAUCUGGCGACACGGACGCGUGGUCUGAUGGCAUUGGCUGGACGUGUCCAUUUUCUCCAGCCCCACAGGAAGGCUGUGUGUCCCUGCUGUGCCGGCGCUGUGCCAGGCUCUGGGAGACCCCUCCGCGUGAGCCAGGCCCACCCCACCCUGAGGGCGCUCAGAGCUCGGGACCAGGUGGGGUCCCCAAGCUUCGGACCCAGUCCCUGAGGUUCCAGCAGAACAGCCCCAAGUUCCACGGGGCAGGUUCCCACGCCUGGGUGGGUGCUUCUGGAGACCGCAGAGAACUUUCCAGCAGAGUGCACCCCUGGGGCCAGGGUCCAAGGCCGCAGCUGUCGGGGGAGCCCCAAGCCCCUUGCAGGAACCCCAGGGGGCAGCCUCCUGUUCCUGUCCCGAGGAGAGGCCCUGGGGCCCUCGGCCGUCCUGCCGUCCACCCCCAGGCUCCCCAGCUCUGCCCAGGCCCCCCGCCCACAGCGUCCUGCCAGGCUGGCUAAAAGCAGGCGCUGCGCCAGCUUGCCAGCCUCCGGUCCGCAGGGACGACCCUGACCCUGGGCUUCAACAGAGAGGCUGGGAGACACUUGCCUUAGGCUGUGUGUCCUGUCCCCACGUGGCUCCCGGCUGCUCCCAAGAUGGGAACCAGGGUGUCUCUUUCAUAGACUUUCCAGACCCUUCCUGCGGGUCCUACCACCGCUGCGGGCUGGAGUGUCCAUGGGCCCGGCCAGGUCACACACACCCCCACGCCCCAGGGAGCGGGAAGGGCCCGGGGGCUCGCACUGGGCCCCCACACUCAGGAGGCCCCAACCUCGGUUUAAUGCCCUGCUGUGGCCGUCUUCACAGUCUUGGUACGUUUUGAACGUGGGGUCACACAUUCCCCUUUUGCACGGGGGCCCUAAUUCUGCCCCACCCCUGAGAUCCUAGAACUCCUGAAAAGCCUUCAGAAACGGGCAGCAGCAGAAACCGCAAAUAGCCCCACGUCCCGACUCCCACACCAGGGCCCGGGCACUCACUCCUGCACGUGCUCACCUCGCACGGCUGUGCUCACGGGGCCUCACGGGUGCCCCUGCACAUGCACACACAUGCAUGUUUACAUGUAUGACAGCUGUCACCCUGGCCACAAGCUUCCUGCUGUGCGGGUGGCUCGGGAGACCUCGAAAUGCCACCCCAGCACCGCUAGGCUGAGGAGAAAGCAGGGAGGGCCGAGAAAAGCCUGGAGGGGGUGUUGGGGCCAAGGGAGCACCCCUACCUCCCCCAGUCUCCCUGGAAACCAGGGGUGCCCCCCUCGCCCGGGAUCCCGCUUAGUCCUCCCAUAGCUCUCUGCAGGGCCCUCCGCACUGUACCCGCGGGGUCCCCGCAGCCGUCCCCGAGCUCAGGUCUGUGUUACGCCUAUUUUAAGGAUGGCAAAACUGAGGCUCCAGGAAGCAAAGUCGCCCGCUGGAACCAAGGCACGAAGGCAGGCAGACCCGGGAGCUCCAAGCCCCUCAGAGGCUCCUGACAUGUGACAAGCCUCAGCCCACCUCGCCCUGGCCCCCCGUGGGCUUGCCCCCUCCUGUUCCUCACCUGCAGGGGUUUGCUCCCCAGGUGGGGCUCCAGCUGGUUCAGAGGGGCACGUCCUCCCUCCAGGGCUCACACUGGCCCUCACAGGGACAGGUGGGGACAGGUCACUGCCCAGGGGCCCCCAGUGAUCUCGAGAGCCCAGGGCCCCUCCCUCGGCCAGCCUUGCCCUCGACCCCACAGCCCAGGCGCCGGCAAGGGUCUGACCAGUGUGCCUGGGACCUGCCAACGGAGUCCAAGAGCAGAACCCCCCGGGGCAUGGGGACUGGGGUGGGUGUGCUCACAGCGGGGAUGGAUGCGGCUGGUGCCCUGGGGCUGGCUGGGGCUCCCGUGGGGCUGUGGGAGUUCCCGGAAUCUGUCUGCACCUGGCCUUCUCUCAAGAUUGUAGAUGGAGCCUUCUGAAGGUUCCAAAUGGAACAUUCCAGAAGUUCUAAACGGAGGCUCCUCUCCUGGGGGUGCUUCUCAGGGGGACUCCCCUUCGAGCCACAGGGCCAGCGUCCAGGCGGCUGGCUGGGCUGGGAGGAGGGGAGGCCGCAGGCCCGUGGGCCAGGCCUUAUUUGGUCAGAGCCCGCGCCCGCUGCCUGGCCGGAGCUCCUGGGACCGGGAGGCCCACGCCGCCGAGCCUCCGCCGCCCGCAGCUCGCCUGUCCCCAGCCUCCUCGCCAGCCCUGCCCUACGGCCAAGGCUGCGGCCCCAGGGAGCCCGAGAUGCCGGGUCGGCCGAGGUGGUGGCAGCCCUGAUCGCCACCGGGCUGCAGGGUCCCGGCUCCUGUCCAUAUAUGGCCGAGGAGAGGCGGUGGCCACCCGCCCGCCCUCCUGGAGGGGUUGUCCCCAGCGGGGGGCUGGGCACUGGCGCUGAGGCCCCGCGUUCCUGUAGGAGCCUGGCAGGGGCCUAUCUGACGGUGCUGAGAGUGUGCUGGAGCCUCCAGCGCGGGGAGUCACCCACCCGCCCUCCCCCGGGGCAUGUGACUGGCAGCUCUGCGGGAGCGAGCGGAGGGCGCGCGGGCACUGGGCCUGGGAGAGGGACGCAGGUCCGGGUCAGAAGCUCGGGGCGACCGGGCUGGGACCGACCCUCCCGGGCCUCGGCUUCCUGAUCUGGUACCCACCACACCCAGGGGGGGCCCGAGGGUGCAGGGAGGACGAGGGGCAUGGAGGGGCGCCCAGGGGGGGUCACCAUCGGCAGGGCCGCCAGUCUCCGAGUCCUGCUAGUGUCCUGACUCAUCCGUCUUUGUCACUUCAUCCAACCUCACAAACACCAACCUACUUGGGUCUGCCUGGGCCUCUCCUGGUUUUAGCCCCGAGGGUCCUGCCUCCGGGCGACCAGGACAGUUAGUGGCUCGCCCUGCAGGUGGCCCAGCGCCACCAGGAGCUGGGAGAGGGGAGUGGCUGGCCGGAGCCCUUCCUUGACCCAUACCCCCUCCACCCCAACCAGGAGAGGCCAGGGGAAAGCACAGGGCAGCCCCCUCUGUCAAGGCCAAUGACCGCUGGCAGGACCGAGGGAGGGUGGGGCUGCCGCUGGGGGGUGGGGCGAGGGAGUGGCCGGACCUGCCCUCCAAUCCGGAGGCCUGUGACCUCAAGCAUCUUCUGGGCCCCAGUCGCCCCGCCUCCUAAAUGGGAGAGCCACGAUAGGCAGCCAUAGCCCAGCUUCGCGGAUGCCAAGCUCUGUUCAGAGCUGUGCACCCUCGGCAGGAAGGGCUGCUCACUCUGUGCAGACAAGGAGCAGAGCCCAGAGAGUUUGAGACAGCUGCCCCAGGUCACACAGCUGGGAACUGUAGAGCAAGGAUUUGAGCCCAGAACCACCUGCUUCAGGCCCAUGCGUAACACAGGAGACAGCGCCCUGCAGGGGUGGCAUGCAAGGGCUCUGGGGUCAGCCCCUGAGGGCCCAACUCUAGGCUCCCUGGCCUGAAGGUCCCUUGGCCCUGGGCAAGUUGCCGGACCUGUCUGGGUCUGUUCUGCACCUACCACGUGGGGAUGACAACAGUACCCACCUCGCAGGUUGGUCGUUUACCUAAGAAAUUUCUGUUAGGCUCCUACACUGGGCAGACACUGAUCUAGACGCUGAAGAUACGGCAGAGAACAGAACCCACAGAAAUCCCUGCCUGGAGUCUAUAUUCUGGGUGGGAGCACAAAGACCCAAAACAUAGCCCUCUGUUGGGGGAGGGAACAGAGCGUGAGGGGGGCGGUCCCCUUUAACGAGGAGGGAGCCUGCUACCUUCGAGGAGAGGGCAUUUGAGCAGAACCCGAAUGAAAAGAGGGAGCAAGCUGUUCUGAUUUCAGGGAGAAGAGCACUUUGGGCCUGAGGGAACAGCCUGUUCGAGGGAACAGCCAGUGCAAAGGCCCUGAGGCAGGAUGAGGUUGGAAAGGCUGGAGCAGAAGAAGUGGUAGGAGGCAGGCAUGCAGAGGUGGGCAGGGCUCUGGUUGUGCAGGGGAUGAGAAGCCGCUGGAGGGUUUCAAGCAGAGUGAGGACAGGAUCGCAGUGAAGGUUUUAAAGGAUCUGUCUCACUGUGUGAGGGAGGACGCAAUGAUCCGACAGGAGGCGAGCAUGGCUGGGCCCAGGCUGGGAGCAGGGCAGGAGGGGAAGGUCUGAUUCUGGAGAUACUUUCCAAGUCAAGCUGACGGAUGGGAUAUGGCGGGGGCAGAGGGGGAAGGGAGCGGGGAGUUGGAGAGGGUUCUGGGCUCUUGCGAGCACUAAGCGAGUUCACACCCCAGGAGUUCUUCCCCAGGGCCCGGACGGGGUGACUCCCGGUGACCAUGACACUGGCUCCCUAAGCCGCAUCCCACAGUCGUCAUGGCGACUGAAGGAUGACGCACGGCGAGUUCAGCCCAGUGCCUGGCCGGCUGGCAAGGACCAUCGUCACCGCAGGGUCAUCCUCUCACCCCUGGCUCCCUGCUAAGCUCCAGACAGAGGGACGGGUCCCCGCGCCUGUCCUCAAAUCCCGCAGCGUUGGCUCGUCUGGCCAGUCCUGGGACCUGGGCCCCCGUGAGGACACGGGAUCCCUGCAGGAGGGAGGCGUGUCUGGUGGCUCCCGCCUCGGCCCAGGCAUGGAGACAGGUCUCUGCCGCCAGAGGCCUGGCUUGGAUGGUUUCCUGGAGUCUCCGAGGUCUGGGGUUAGGCUCCAUCAUCCGGAGCUUCCUUUGUGAAGCCAUUCGGGGCACGGGCAGCCCCCUCAGAGGACUCAGGACCACCAUCCGAGUCACUUCUCUUGGACACACAAAUCCUCUCAUGCUACCUGCCUUGGCCCCAAACUCUUCAAUGGCUCCCCAUUGCCCUUGAGAUACAAACAACCCUAGGAUGGUCCGUGAGGCCCCGUGGGGCCUGGCCUCCAGCCUCUCCACCACCAUGAUUCCCUCACACUCUGCUCUCCAACCUCUCUGGCCCCUGUCACACUCACUCUGGGCUGCCCUCUCGAAAGCCACUCCCCAUUUCUUCCUUGCUAGCAAAACAUCAGUUUGGUUGGACCAGCAACAUCCCCUGCACCUGGGGACGAAUCACGACUGGUCUAGUCACAGCCGCCCCAUUGCCCUCUGCCAGAUUCUUGCCUUCUCAGCCUCCUUUGCAGCUAGUAGCAGCGACGUGACCCAGUUCUAGUCAAUGAGAUGUAAGCUUUCUCCCUGCUGUCCUGCUUGUGCUGCUGCUGUGAGGUCAAGAGGCUGGAGCAGUGGCAGCCAUUUUGUGAUCAGGAAGCAACUGGUAAAAAGGACUAAAAACUAACACACUAAGGUGACUGAACAGAAGCAUGGGGGAGACCAGGGUCCUUCGUGAACACAAAAAAGAGUUAUAGUCAGGGGACAGGAGCAUGGCUUCCGUGCUCUCCAUCGCCUGUCCAGCCACGCCAAAAUGACCCCCAGACUGACAGAGAUGCCAGGCUCCCUGCAGGAGAGUGUUGUCAGGAGGGCCUAGGCGGAGCUGACAAACGCCGACCUGAGACUGAAAGUGCGUGCAGUCAGACCACGGGGAUCGGGGGGGAAGCAGGCUGUGUCCAGGGGAGAGCCCUGGCCAGGACGACGGGAGCCAGACCCCCAGAGGGAGGCAGGAAGGCACCCUGCACCUGCUCAGGAGGCCUCCUUCGGGGGGCCCUGGAGAAUUACGAGGAAGGCCACGACCCACAGGCCCCAUGGGAGGCCUCUGUCUAGUUCCCUUUCCUGUCACCAUCUCAGCAAGCAAACUAACACUCACUGAAUGAAUGAAAAACCUCCUAGCACUUGUGUGCCAAUCACUACCGUAUUUAACCUCCCACUGACCCUGGGAGGCAGUGACUGCUGCAGAGAGAGUCUGAAGAGUGCCUUCUCGAGACAGCCUGUGGGGAAACUGAGGCUCAAAGGGCUUUGGUGACUCGCUGUGGCCAGGCCAUACGGGCUUUGCAACCAGAAGAGCUGGGUUUCAGUCCCAACUUUGGCACUUGCUGGCUGUGUGACCUGGGACAAAUGGCUGACCCUCUCUGAGCCUCAGCCCACUCCUCGGCGGCACAGAGAGGAAGAUAACGGUCUGCCGCAGAGGGCUCCUGAGGGGUGAGCGGUGGUGUCCACCAAGGCCGACCACAGAGAACAUGGUCUACACCAGGGGUCGGCAAACUAGCGCCAAACCCGCCCAACACCUGAAUUCGUAAAUGAAGCUUCGUGGGCACCCAGCCGUGUGUGUACAGUUGAGGGCUGCUUCGGUGCCAUGACCACAGAGCUGAGUCAUUUCAACAGAAACGGGAUGGCCCACAAAACUGAGGGUACUUACCGUCUGUCCAGACAGAAAGUUCGUCUACACCCCGACCGAUCCGAGCAUGAGAUCCUGGCAGCGUCAGCAACGUGGGUUGGAGAUGCAGGACCUCAGGCCCCCUGACUGGCACCAGAGCCUGCAUUUUAACCAGACGGCCCAGGCGGGGAAGAUCCGGCUGGAGAACGACAGUUUAUUUUAAAAGAAAAUUCUCUGUGAUCCAUGUAAAUGGAAAAGGAGUGUCACUGCCACCAAGAGAAGACGACUCCGAAAACGAGCACGUGGGAGAUAAGUCACGCAGUAAACGCCGCUGCCUGCCCGCGGCUCGGAGCCGGAGCCCUGCCCUCGCUCUGCUAAGCAGGGGCUGAGCAGCUGGGGGACCGGCUGUAAAGACGCAGGCACCAGGCUAAACUGAGAAGAGGAGAAAAAUUGUCAAAGAGGAAGGGCCUUCUCCCCGUGCCCUGCGCUGAGCCUCCUGUCGGCCACAGAGUCUGGGUCCCGCAUUUCCCACACCCCCAUCCCACAAACCCCUUCUUCAGAGAUGGGGAGCCAGGGCCCCAAGCACAGAAGCCACCGUUCCCUCAGAGCUCGUGACACAUCGACACUCACACCAGCCUCGGACGUGCCACCAGGAUGUGUCCCCUCCCGUCCCCUUCUCAGGAGGCAGAGCAUCUCCACAGUCUCAGCCUCCUUGAAGCCGCAGCUGCCUGGAGCUGUCGCCAUCCUUCCAGCACUUCCACCCUCGAGGCCACCGGUGCUUCUGCCCAGAGCGGACACUGGGGUUCUGGGCAUCACUUCAACUGCUCAGCGUCCAUCGAGGCGGUGUGAAGGGCUGGGCUCCUUCCUCGGGCACACACAGAGCGCGGGUGGCUGGGUCUGCAGGCCGGGCCUGGCCACCUCGAGACCAGCCACCAGUGGCCGGUCGUCAGGAUGGUGGCUCGCCCACAUUCCAGAGCCGCAGGCUGGGGCAUGCCUGCCGGGCAGUGGCUGGUGUUUACCGCCAGGCAGAAGCACAAAGGAGCCCUUUUGUCUCCAGGCCGCACCCUGGUGACCGCACACCCCACGGAGCUGCAGGUCACCCUCUCUCUGGUGGGCAAUUCUGCCUUCAUGUUACCGAGCAACUGCGUGGGGCGGAGACCCCCCACUGCCAUCGAGUUUGAGGUGGUGCCGCCUGGGUUCAGCCCUCAGCCCUGCCGCUCACCUCCUGAGGGACCUCGGGGGAAGGGCUGACUCAGGGCCUCAUAAACACACAGAUGCAGAGCGGCUGUAAGGAUUAAAGAGUAAUCACGUUCAGCAUUUCAAACAGUGUGAGCGCUCCACAAAUGUUAGCACGGGGCAUCUGAGUUUUUCGAUUUUUGGUUUUUCCAUCUCCCACUUUCAAAUAACUCCACUAUGCAUGUUUCUGUCCCUGAGGACAAAAAUGUUUUGCCAAAAGAUGAAACGCUGGGUUGGAGGGUACGUGCAGUGUCACAGCCCUUGUUUCACACAGACACAGUGAUCUUCAGCAUCUGAAUCUGUUUACAGCGAAGCUGAUGUGUCAUUUUCCCCACAUCCCUGCCAACACUGGGUUUUAUCAUUUUAUACUUGUUUUCUAACUUCAUCGGCCUGUAGAGCAGCUCUCGUGUGCACCUGUUGCUCUGCCUGCCAGACUGUGCAUUCUCCCAGGUAACAGUUAACUGUCGACGUUUCCUCAGGGAUAAACGUUUUGUUCCGCUCCUUUGAAGGUUUCUCAGACGGCAUCUGCAACAGUUCCUGGCAGGUGCACGCUGGAAGCAUCUUCCGAGCAGGAAGGGGGGACGAGAGAGGCUGCAGCUUGGGAAGGCAGUGACAGUCUCUGCCCCCACCCCCCAUUGCCUGCCUUCCAUUCCCCUGAGCGUCCUCAGAGCACCCCCCAUGGAGGAAACCCUUCCGGGGCUGGGGUUGCAGGCACUGAGGCGGGGGGGGGGGGGGGGGGGGGGGGGGGGGGGGGGGGGGUAGGAAGAACGGAGGGACCAGAGGAAUGGGCUGCAUUUCCUGGAGCAAGAAGCCAGCCAGUGAGGCCGAGGUGCAGCAGGUGCAGUCCCGCAGCAACUCUCCCCGGAGCCCUGGGGGCCAGGAACCUCUCCUUCCAAACUGACGGGUCAGAAUAAACGCCUCCACAAGUUAGGAUUCCAGGCGACGGUCCCUCCUUGCUCCUUCCUCACUGAGGCUCCCAGGCGCUGUGUCGGCAAGAUGCCAGCACCUCUUUCUCAGGUCAUCCCUCACCCGGAACCUGCGAGGACCCCAAAGUCGUCGUCAACCACAGGGGGCGGGGCCGGUUCCCAACCAAACAUCCCUGCCGCCGGGGGUCUUGCCACCACACGGGCUUGCUGUGGAAGACGGGUCUGGAACAGCCUAGCAGACGGGAGUUCACUGUGCAGCGGCGCCCGGGCUGGCUGAACUGGCCGCCCGCAUCUUGAAUGUCGCCCACACUUCGAACUUGAGUUUCCAGCUCUCGAGGGUCACUCAACACUCAGAACAGAAUGACAAGUCACUUCCCCAUCCAACACACCUCCUGGGUCCCCACCCCCAGCACAGAAGCCCCCUGGGCAGCCCAGAUGGUGGCACUGCCCCUACUUUGACAGAGAGGCACCUGGAGCCUCAAAGAGUAACAUUUCCGGAGUCACCCGGCUAGAGUCACCACCCUGGGCACUGAAGGGUGUUUAGCAGCAUCCCUGGUCCCCACCCACGGGACUCCAGGAGCAUCCCCACCCCAGCCGUGACAACCAAAAAUGUCCCCGGACAUUGCCCAGUGUCCCCGAGGGGCAGACUCGCCCCCACUGGAGAACCACUGCUUUGGACGUGGCUGAACACAUCUGCUGUCUGGGGACCAGUGUCCAGCAGAUUCUCCUGAUCUUUGGGAUCCACACCAUCUCGGUGGCCUGUGGGGGCCCUGUAGGACCUCACCACCCCUCUCCAGCUUGCCCUAAUGCGGUCGCCUGCUGUUUCCUCUGCCCUCAGCUCUCUCUGUGUCUCUGGUCCCCUUCCAGGCCCUUCCACGCCCUCAGGGGCCAGCAGAGGCAGGCCCUGACUACACUCCCUGAGCGCCCCAGCUUCACCAUCCCCCUCCAGCCAUCCCCCUGAUUUAGUGUCCUCACGGCCUUUUCUUAAAUUGCCCUGUUUCUGUAUCUCCUUAUUGACGUGUUUGUUUCCGUCUCAGCUCCACGGGGCUCGUCCAUCCCGUUCUCUGCUGUCCCCAGAGCACAGCAGAGCACACGGCGCACGGAACAUGCUCAGGACGCUCCACGAAUGAGCCGGGAGACGGGCGGGCUCCUUGGGUCCUAGAAAUGGACCUCAUCCGCCCCCAGGCCGCGGAGGUGAGCAAAGCCUGCCAGGCCGCCUCACCCGAGCACCCCCCAAGCGUGCCCACCACCCCUUGGGCUCCUCGGGGCUCUUGGGAAACAGCACGGCAAGCCCCCUCGACCCUCCCCGGGGCCAGAAGCCACCGCCGGCCAGUGCAGGAGGCAGCGGCUCUAAUUAUAGAAGGCAGGUUG